GUACUACUUCUCCGUCCGGAAAUACUUAUUAUUGAAAUGGAUGUAUCUAGAUGUAUUUUAGUUGUAGGUACAUCCAUUUCCAUCCAUUUUGAUGACAAGUAUUUUCGGACGGAGGGAGUACUAU
Non-coding RNA from Triticum aestivum (bread wheat), 124 nucleotides. The record is from Rfam. NCBI's taxonomy places the organism in Eukaryota, Viridiplantae, Streptophyta, Magnoliopsida, Poales, Poaceae.